UACGUAGGGGGCAAGCGUUGUCCGGAUUUAUUGGGCGUAAAGAGCGUGUAGGCGGCCAGAUAGGUCCGUUGUGAAAACUGGAGGCUUAACCUCCAGCUGUCGAUGGAAACCAUCUGGCUAGAGUCCGGAAGAGGAGAGUGGAAUUCCUGGUGUAGCGGUGAAAUGCGCAGAUAUCAGGAAGAACACCCGUGGCUAAGGCGGUUCUCUAGUACGGUACUGACGCUGAGACGCGAAAGCGUGGGGAGCGAACAGG
RNAcentral lists this ribosomal RNA (253 nucleotides) under uncultured bacterium. RNAcentral describes it as "partial 16S ribosomal RNA". It matches the Rfam family "Bacterial small subunit ribosomal RNA", at positions 524 to 776 of the family's 1533-position model. The record is from RNAcentral.